UGCGCAAUCAGCACCAGUUCUAAAUGGUACAGCCUCGGCCACAUAUUCUAUUUCCACCAGUGACCCGGCACCACUUGGCACUUACAUCAGUAGGGCAAAAAUAGCAGUCUUUUCCAAUUUCCUCUGCCACCUUUUCACCAUUACUUGAAGGAAGAUCUAAGAUAACUGCCUUGGCUGCAUGUUUCUGUAUGAGACGUUGUACUGUUGCUCUACCUAAGCCAGAAGCACCUCCAGUGACUAAACAUCUCAGCUGUUUUGCAGCCGCCAUCUUGCAAACGUGUACUGGUAAGUGGGAUACGUCAAGUAACAUCUUUUGAAAUGUAUUCACCAAACCCACUGUUCUUUGUAAACUCGUUAAAAUUACAAAUUUAUGUUUACGUUAAGAUUUAUUCAGAAAUAUGUUC
Molecule: non-coding RNA, 404 nt
Organism: Paramuricea clavata
Lineage: Eukaryota; Metazoa; Cnidaria; Anthozoa; Malacalcyonacea; Plexauridae
Source: the annotation of a GenBank genome assembly